UACAGAGGGGGCAAGCGUUGUUCGGAAUUACUGGGCGUAAAGGGCGCGUAGGCGGCCCGCUAAGUCGAACGUGAAAUCCCCGGGCUCGACCCGGGAACUGCGUCCGAUACUGGCGGGCUUGAAUCCGGGAGAGGGAUGCGGAAUUCCAGGUGUAGCGGUGAAAUGCGUAGAUAUCUGGAGGAACACCGGUGGCGAAGGCGGCAUCCUGGACCGGCAUUGACGCUGAGGCGCGAAAGCCAGGGGAGCAAACGGG
Molecule: ribosomal RNA, 253 nt
Filed under: uncultured bacterium
Lineage: Bacteria
Description: partial 16S ribosomal RNA
Rfam family: Bacterial small subunit ribosomal RNA
Source: RNAcentral